GCCGGUUUAGCUUAGUGGUAGAGCGCCAGUCUUGUAAACUGGAGGUCGGCGGUUCAAUCCCGCCAUCCGGCU
This is a non-coding RNA of Perkinsus marinus ATCC 50983, 72 nucleotides long. Lineage: Eukaryota; Perkinsozoa; Perkinsida; Perkinsidae. The record is from Rfam.